AAAGGUAGCAUAAUCAUUAGGGGUUUAAUUGGAACCUAGAAUGAAGGGUCGGACAAAGGAAAAGCUGUCUGUGAGGUUUAACUUGAAGUUCACUUUUAAGUGAAAAGGCUUAAAUAAAUCAAAGGGACGAUAAGACCCUAUAAAGCUUUAUAAAUAAUUUAAAUCUGAUUAAUUUAGGAUAUAAAUGUUAAAUUUGAUUAUUUUAUUUUAUUGGGGUGAUGUGAGUAUAAUUGCUAUUAACUGCUUAUAAAAAAUUCUUUUAUAAAAGAUUUAUCAAAGUGAAUGAUCCUUUUUAAAGAUUAAAAGACUAAGUUACUUUAGGGAUAACAGCGUUAUUUUUCUUGAGAGUUCAUAUCGAAAGAAGAGAUUGCGACCUCGAUGUUGAAUUAAAAUAUCUAUAUAAUGCAGCCGUUAUAAAAGAGGGUCUGUUCGACCUUUAAAUU
This 443-nucleotide ribosomal RNA is filed under the name Cyclodius nitidus. RNAcentral's name for it is "partial 16S ribosomal RNA". It matches the Rfam family "Bacterial large subunit ribosomal RNA", at positions 1952 to 2594 of the family's 2925-position model. Lineage: Eukaryota; Metazoa; Arthropoda; Malacostraca; Decapoda; Xanthidae. The record is from RNAcentral.